Molecule: long non-coding RNA, 2512 nt
Filed under: Capsicum annuum
Lineage: Eukaryota; Viridiplantae; Streptophyta; Magnoliopsida; Solanales; Solanaceae
Description: long non-coding RNA (CANN_LNC019689)
Source: RNAcentral
GCAACAGUAUCUGCAGGUAUGCAAGUAAGGAGUGAGCUAUAUAAAUAUGACCAGUAAGAUCCUCGACCCGCUACUUUAAUACCCCUGGAACAAGUGUUAGAAAAUAUAAAGCACAAUAAAAUACACAAAUAGUAUGUACAUAAUAUCUCUCAUAAGGUAAUGUCAAUAAGAUCCAAAAGGAAGUUCAAAAAAAAAAAGUCACUCAAUAACUUAGCUCAAUCAACUCUCACGGCUUGUCAUAAACGACAGUUAAGGUGACCGGCCUAUUACCCCAACAAGUCCACGACAAUAUAUAUAAUUCCCCAAAAAUCUACUACGACAAUAUUUACAAGCCCCUAACAUAUUACGAUAACAUAAGUAAUGCUCCUAACAUAUUACUGCAGCUAUGUAUGCCCCUAGAGACUAUAACGGCAGCCAAGAAAAUAUGUUCAACGCCCCAACGUCAUCUCACAUAUUACCAUAAUAAGUAAUUCUCCAUACACCUCACAAAUUACAUAUCCACAGUUAGUCAAAUAUCACAGAUUCUACCAAGUUCAAGCUUGUCCUAGCACAUGAACUAGGUAAAAUCAGAUUUGAAAAGCAAGCAUCAAAGCUUAAAGUCCCACUUACAUCGCUAAUAACAAAUUUUUCGACUCUGCAAUGUUUAGAAAAUCAACCAUCAACGACUAAUGGAAUCAAUCUAAACAAAAUAUUAAAUAACAAUAUCAAUUGUGCUAUUCGGGUCAAGUCUCAACAUUCCUAACCUUUAAGUUUAGAGCUAAAUCAUAAUACCUCACGUCUUAACCCACGAACUCAAGAAUAAUCUAACAAGGGAGGCUGCCAAAACAGGAAUAUUAAAAUAUUGGUCAGUAAUUUCAUUACCAUUAAUCUAUAUAUGCAGAAGAAUUGAAAUAACAAUUGUCACACCCCAUUUUUUUUAACCAAAAAGACAUGAUUUUAGAGUUUGAAAAGGGUUUAUUAUUAUUUAAGUGACAAGAGAUGGAAUUUAUUUCGAAAAGGAUUAUUCACAUUUAAACUCAGAGUCGCCACUUGACAUAAAUCGGGUGUGCCAAGUCACCUUUGAAAAUCCUUUUCAAAACAGUUUUACUCUAAAAAUUGAUCCAUGAAUAGAGAUUGCGGCUAAGGAAUUCUGUUGAUCGAGGGGAAGGUGUUAGGCACCCCUCGGUCUCGUGGUUCGACCACAAUUGCUUCGUGGAGUAUAUCGACUAGUAUAACACUAUGAAAUGCAUCAACCACACAAAACACGCAACAAGAAGAACAAACAACCAAACAGUCGAAAAUUCCCAAAAAUAAUGUCUAGUCCAAUUUAUUACAGACCAAAAAUAAAAAUACUAAAAUGAAAGCUAAACUAUCCUAUCUUUGUUUUACCCGAUAUCUCGGGCUUUGAUCACGAUCUUUUUCUGUCAACAUAACACGUUGGGACAUUCCCCGGUGAAUAAAUACAAAUGACCUCGGGCAUUCCCGGCGAAUAAAUACAUUUGAUAGAAAAAGCGAUACAAAUAGGAAAUCAUUUCAAAAAAGCAUUCACCCAUUCGAUAAUAUAGAACCCUAAGGUUUGCCUACCCCAAAACCUAUAAUUUACCUAUCGAUUCAACUUAUCAUAAUUCUAGCACGUUCCACAUCAUCAAUGAAUCAAAAUUAAUCUGAAUUCAUUUUUAUCAAGAGCAAUCUCUCCAUGAAUUCCAUUUUUAACCCACAAAAUUUUCACAUAAAACAAUUAUUCAUCAUAUCAACAUCGAACUUGUACCAUGAUUAAUUAUUCAACAUCAAACAUCCACAAAACACAAAAACAUAAUCAUCAAACACAUAAUCAUAACUUCAAUCCAACAAAUUAAAAUAAAAUAAAAAGAAAGAAUUAAAGAAUUGGACCUUCCAAAUAUUUUUGAUCGAUUUAUGAAAGAAAUAAAGAGCCGUCCCGAGAACCUCAACUCAACUUCAACGACGGACAAAAUAACAAGAUAUCAACGAACAGCAACUGUACAGAUUCAACGAAUAGCUCUGUCGGAGCUCCGUCGACCCAAAUAGUACGAAGAACGUGGGAUUGAUCUAGUUUCGAUCGAAUUUUUGGGGUGUUUUCGCUGGUUUCGGAGUUUCGGUAGUUCGGCAGUGCGGGACGAUGUAUUCCGGUGAGGCUUCGCCGGAAUCCGAGCUAGUUCCGUUCUCUAUUUUCUUUCUCUCUCUCCCGAUCAAUCACUCCGACCAGCUCUUUCUUUCACUCCGUCCAGCUCUCUAUCCUACUGUUUUCUCUACUCUAACUCUAUUGUCUGUGUGUUUGUUCUGUGUGUGUAGUGUGGAGCUCUUUGUGAGUGUGUUGUUUGUGUUGCUAAAAAAUAAAAUAUGAAUUCUCUGUGUGUGUUACUGUGUAGAAGAGAAUGGAGAAGAAUGAUGUGAGUAUGUGUGCGUAGAGUGUGUGUAUAUGUGAAGUGGAGCAGUGUGUAUGCGUCGAUGGUGUGGAAUCCCGUAUAUUGGUGUCUGUAGUAUGCGUUCACUGGGGGUCUAAUUGUGUAGUGGA